GUCAAUAAUCUUUGAGGAUUUAUGCUAAUUUAACCAGAAAUGCUCUUUCAGAACAUGGAUUUAUCACAUGUCAUAGAACACUGAAGUCACAUUAGAAUGUGGUUAAUUUCUCCACUGAGCUUAGAAGCACAUGGUUUGCAGAACAUUGGCUACAGUAAGAACAUACUCUGCAUAAGAGAGGGUUCAACAUUAACAACAAUGUCUGUAAAAACAGAAUCACAGCUGUCAAGAAGAGCGCUAUCUGCAUAAUUGCUUAAAGAUUUUACUGCAAAAUUAAUAUCCUUGCUGUGAACAAGGGAACAAGGCAAAAACCAGGAUGACAGAGCCUGAGAUGAGGUGAAAAGCAAAUCCAAUUUUUCCUUGCACCAUAGAAACCUCGUCAGGACUAGCUUUAUCUGGUAAUCCACAUUUAAACUUUAACCUGUAGGGGGGCUCUUUGUGUUAGAUAAUGUAAGCAUAAAAGGAGGCUGAAUCGCUAAUCAGAUUAAUCAUAUUUUGUAAGACUCAAAAGCUUCAUUAAAAGGAACUGGUAUCCAAGUUACACAUUGUUGUUGUUGUUGUUGUUGUUGGCAGAAUAAGAGUUUAUCAUUAAAAAAAAAAAAGAAUGACAUGAAAAUGCUCAAAUGUCUGCAACUUUUAGUGAACCUAUAGCAAACAAGACUAAAAGACCAAAUCAAAUCCUAAUUCAUAAAAUUACUUUACAUCCCAACAGAGUCAACACAUAGAUUACUUCAGUUUCUUCAUAUUUUAAUCUUAGAAGACAAUAUUUGAUAGAGGUUGUGACAGC
Molecule: long non-coding RNA, 787 nt
Filed under: Pan troglodytes (chimpanzee)
Lineage: Eukaryota; Metazoa; Chordata; Mammalia; Primates; Hominidae
Description: lncRNA (ENSPTRG00000054084.1)
Source: RNAcentral